Molecule: ribosomal RNA, 776 nt
Filed under: uncultured Neocallimastigales
Lineage: Eukaryota; Fungi; Neocallimastigomycota; Neocallimastigomycetes; Neocallimastigales
Description: partial large subunit ribosomal RNA
Rfam family: Eukaryotic large subunit ribosomal RNA
Source: RNAcentral
CAUCACUACGCUAGAUGCAUAUCAAUAAGCGGAGGAAAAGAAACUAACAAGGAUUCCCCUAGUAACGGCGAGUGAAGCGGGAAGAGCUCAAAUUUGAAAUCUUAAAGGGUUUCCCUUUACGAAUUGUAGUUUAAAGAAGUGUUUUCUGUUGGAGUUUCGGUAAAAGUUCUUUGGAAUAGGACAUCAUAGAGGGUGAGAAUCCCGUAUUUGACCGUUACUUUCCAGCUGUGUGAUACACUUUCAAAGAGUCCGGAUUGUUUGGGAAUGCAGUCCAAAAUGGGUGGUAAAUUUCAUCUAAAGCUAAAUAUUGGCGAGAGACCGAUAGCGAACAAGUACCGUGAGGGAAAGAUGAAAAGAACUUUGAAAAGAGAGUUAAACAGUACGUGAAAUUGUCAAAAGGGAAGCGUUUGACACCAGUGUUGUUUAGUUGAAAAUCAAUUCAAUAAUUUUCGAUUUUGAGUAGUAUUGACUUCAUCAGCUUGCUGCUUUCUUUUCGGAAAUUAUUGAAUGCACUUUUCAGUUAACAAGUCAACAUCAAUUUCUUUUGUUGUAAAAGGGUAAGAGGAAGGUGGCUUACGCUUCGGCGUAAGUGUUUAUAGCCUUUUACCUCUGCAAUCGGAGAGAUUGAGGACAGCAGCGUAGACUCUUCGGGGUUAGAUACACUUGUGCUAAGCUAUAGCCUUGUAUAGACAACUUGUUGACUAUGCUCAGUCAUGUAGCUUACUCGCUUGUGCUAUUUUACCUACGCUUAGGAUGUUGACGAGACUGUCGAUCUC